CAGGCGGACAUUAAUAAGGCGUUGCCCAUGCUGAUAUUCGGUGGGUUUGCCGUCGCUGCCAGCCUGCUGGCGCUUCUGCUGCCGGAGACGAAGGAUAGAGACUUGCCUGAGACCAUCGAAGAUGGAGAGAACUUUAAUAGGAAAGGCUACAUUCCGUCUGCUGAGCGGCGCUGCAAGCUACGUGAUAAAGAAACCACCACUAGCGGCCUGCUGACGUAAUCCGAUGACGUAUUCCGAUGACGUAAUCCGAUGACGUAAUCCGAUGACGUAAUGUGAUCAGCCGUAUAUCCCACUUAAGAGCGGCAUCUCGCUUCCUGAGGGUUGGAUGAAGAAGAAGACACACAGAAUGCACA
Priapulus caudatus is the source of this 353-nucleotide long non-coding RNA. RefSeq lists it as uncharacterized. Lineage: Eukaryota; Metazoa; Priapulida; Priapulimorpha; Priapulimorphida; Priapulidae. The record is from RefSeq and is a predicted model, not a curated record. The transcript is spliced from 2 exons.